RNAcentral lists this small RNA (29 nucleotides) under Bombyx mori (domestic silkworm). RNAcentral's name for it is "ovarian small RNA-19600". The record is from RNAcentral. Lineage: Eukaryota; Metazoa; Arthropoda; Insecta; Lepidoptera; Bombycidae.
UAAUAUCAAACUAAAGCCCUUUUUAUUAC